UAAUAAGAUUUAUAUACAUAAAUUUAGUUUCGACCUAAAAUAAGGAAAUAAAAUUUUCCCUUAUUUU
RNAcentral lists this transfer RNA (67 nucleotides) under Arctopsyche spinescens. RNAcentral's name for it is "tRNA-Arg". Lineage: Eukaryota; Metazoa; Arthropoda; Insecta; Trichoptera; Hydropsychidae. The record is from RNAcentral.